ACCUCGGUGGGAUAGUGGUAGCACGCGUUUCCGGUAUGGAUAAAACGCGGGUUCGACUCCCGCUUGAGGUC
Non-coding RNA from Parelaphostrongylus tenuis, 71 nucleotides. NCBI's taxonomy places the organism in Eukaryota, Metazoa, Nematoda, Chromadorea, Rhabditida, Metastrongylidae. The record is from the annotation of a GenBank genome assembly.